This 1460-nucleotide ribosomal RNA is filed under the name Streptococcus salivarius. RNAcentral's name for it is "bacterial SSU rRNA". It matches the Rfam family "Bacterial small subunit ribosomal RNA". Lineage: Bacteria; Bacillati; Bacillota; Bacilli; Lactobacillales; Streptococcaceae. The record is from RNAcentral.
GGAAGAUUGGGGGGCGUGCUAAUACAUGCAGUAGAACGCUGAAGAGAGGAGCUUGCUCUUCUUGGAUGAGUUGCGAACGGGUGAGUAACGCGUAGGUAACCUGCCUUGUAGCGGGGGAUAACUAUUGGAAACGAUAGCUAAUACCGCAUAACAAUGGAUGACACAUGUCAUUUAUUUGAAAGGGGCAAUUGCUCCACUACAAGAUGGACCUGCGUUGUAUUAGCUAGUAGGUGAGGUAACGGCUCACCUAGGCGACGAUACAUAGCCGACCUGAGAGGGUGAUCGGCCACACUGGGACUGAGACACGGCCCAGACUCCUACGGGAGGCAGCAGUAGGGAAUCUUCGGCAAUGGGGGCAACCCUGACCGAGCAACGCCGCGUGAGUGAAGAAGGUUUUCGGAUCGUAAAACUCUGUUGUAAGUCAAGAACGAGUGUGAGAGUGGAAAGUUCACACUGUGACGGUAGCUUACCAGAAAGGGACGGCUAACUACGUGCCAGCAGCCGCGGUAAUACGUAGGUCCCGAGCGUUGUCCGGAUUUAUUGGGCGUAAAGCGAGCGCAGGCGGUUUGAUAAGUCUGAAGUUAAAGGCUGUGGCUCAACCAUAGUUCGCUUUGGAAACUGUCAAACUUGAGUGCAGAAGGGGAGAGUGGAAUUCCAUGUGUAGCGGUGAAAUGCGUAGAUAUAUGGAGGAACACCGGUGGCGAAAGCGGCUCUCUGGUCUGUAACUGACGCUGAGGCUCGAAAGCGUGGGGAGCGAACAGGAUUAGAUACCCUGGUAGUCCACGCCGUAAACGAUGAGUGCUAGGUGUUGGAUCCUUUCCGGGAUUCAGUGCCGCAGCUAACGCAUUAAGCACUCCGCCUGGGGAGUACGACCGCAAGGUUGAAACUCAAAGGAAUUGACGGGGGCCCGCACAAGCGGUGGAGCAUGUGGUUUAAUUCGAAGCAACGCGAAGAACCUUACCAGGUCUUGACAUCCCGAUGCUAUUUCUAGAGAUAGAAAGUUACUUCGGUACAUCGGUGACAGGUGGUGCAUGGUUGUCGUCAGCUCGUGUCGUGAGAUGUUGGGUUAAGUCCCGCAACGAGCGCAACCCCUAUUGUUAGUUGCCAUCAUUCAGUUGGGCACUCUAGCGAGACUGCCGGUAAUAAACCGGAGGAAGGUGGGGAUGACGUCAAAUCAUCAUGCCCCUUAUGACCUGGGCUACACACGUGCUACAAUGGUUGGUACAACGAGUUGCGAGUCGGUGACGGCAAGCUAAUCUCUUAAAGCCAAUCUCAGUUCGGAUUGUAGGCUGCAACUCGCCUACAUGAAGUCGGAAUCGCUAGUAAUCGCGGAUCAGCACGCCGCGGUGAAUACGUUCCCGGGCCUUGUACACACCGCCCGUCACACCACGAGAGUUUGUAACACCCGAAGUCGGUGAGGUAACCUUUUGGAGCCAGCCGCCUAAGGGUGUUUGAAAGGU